CGCAUCUGUGCAUGCAGCAUAUCAAUAAGCGGAGGAAAAGAAACUAACAAGGAUUCCCCUAGUAACGGCGAGUGAAGCGGGAAGAGCUCAAAUUUGAAAUCUUAAAGGGUUUCCCUUUACGAAUUGUAGUUUAAAGAAGUGUUUUCUGUUGAGGUUUUGGUAAAAGUUCUUUGGAAUAGGACAUCAUAGAGGGUGAGAAUCCCGUAUUUGACCUUUACUUUCAACUUUGUGAUACACUUUCAAAGAGUCGGAUUGUUUGGGAAUGCAGUCCAAAAUGGGUGGUAAAUUUCAUCUAAAGCUAAAUAUUGGCGAGAGACCGAUAGCGAACAAGUACCGUGAGGGAAAGAUGAAAAGAACUUCGAAAAGAGAGUUAAACAGUACGUGAAAUUGUCAAAAGGGAAGCGUUUGACACCAGUGUUGUUUUUCUGAAAAUCAAUUAAAGAACUGUUUAUGCUAAGCUGUUUAGACUUUAUCAGCUAACUGUUUAGUUUUGAGCUUUUCUUUAAUGCACUUUUCAGUUAACAAGUCAACAUCAAUUUCUUUUGCUGUAAAAAGCUUGAGGAAGGUGGCUUGAGAUUCGUCUUAAGUGUUUACAGCCUCUUGCCUAUGCAGUCGGAGAGAUUGAGGUCUGCAGCGUAGAUCCUCCGGGGCUAAAUGCAUUUGUGCUAAGUUAUAGCAUUUUAUAGACAACUUGUUGACUAUGAUUUGUCUUGUAGCUUACUCGCUUAUGUUAUUUUACCUACGCUUAGGAUGUUGAGUCAUCACACAUCUCU
Molecule: ribosomal RNA, 773 nt
Filed under: uncultured Neocallimastigales
Lineage: Eukaryota; Fungi; Neocallimastigomycota; Neocallimastigomycetes; Neocallimastigales
Description: partial large subunit ribosomal RNA
Rfam family: Eukaryotic large subunit ribosomal RNA
Source: RNAcentral